RNAcentral lists this ribosomal RNA (206 nucleotides) under uncultured bacterium. Its description in RNAcentral is "partial 16S ribosomal RNA". It matches the Rfam family "Bacterial small subunit ribosomal RNA", at positions 1295 to 1500 of the family's 1533-position model. The record is from RNAcentral.
GGAUUGCAGCCUGCAACUCGGCUGCAUGAAGCUGGAAUCGCUAGUAAUCGCGGAUCAGAAUGCCGCGGUGAAUACGUUCCCGGGUCUUGUACACACCGCCCGUCACACCAUGGGAGCCGGAAACGCCCGAAGCCAGCGGCCCAACCGCAAGGGGGGAGCUGUCGAAGGCGGGUCCGGUGACCGGGGUGAAGUCGUAACAAGGUAUC